AGCGCGUUAAAACCGCAUCCCCGCAGGAGGCUCGGCCGCCGCGCGCCCGCGGCCCUCCGUCCCGCCCCGGCCGGCUGGCGGUCACCUGGCACACCAGCGCCCGCAGGAUGCCCAGGGAUCACAUGCAGUGGUCUAAGGAAGAAGAAGCAGCAGCCAGAAAAAAAGUAAAAGAAAACUCAGCUGUGCGAGUCCUUCUGGAAGAGCAAGGAACUCUCCGGAGUCCUUUCUGUAUUGUUGUGAUUUUGCUUCUGGAGCUGUGGAGCUCGUAAAGAUGGGAUCCUGGAUGUCAUUCUCCUUGUCUUUGUGCUCUCUUCUAUUCAUCCUGACAGGAUGCAAGGUGUUGUAAACCGACUGUCCAAGUUACUGAAACCUGGGGGAAUGCUGUUAUUUCGAGACUAUGGAAGAUAUGAUAAGACUCAGCUUCGUUUUAAAAAGGGACAUUGUUUAUCUGAAAAUUUUUAUGUUCGAGGAGAUGGUACCAGAGCAUAUUUCUUUACAAAAGGGGAAGUCCACAGUAUGUUCUGCAAAGCCAGUUUAGAUGAAAAGCAAAAUCUGGUUGAUCGCCGCUUACAAGUUAAUAGGAAAAAACAAGUGAAAAUGCACCGAGUGUGGAUUCAAGGCA
This 622-nucleotide long non-coding RNA is filed under the name Homo sapiens (human). RNAcentral's name for it is "non-protein coding lnc-TLK1-7:1". Lineage: Eukaryota; Metazoa; Chordata; Mammalia; Primates; Hominidae. The record is from RNAcentral.